This 435-nucleotide ribosomal RNA is filed under the name uncultured bacterium. RNAcentral describes it as "partial 16S ribosomal RNA". It matches the Rfam family "Bacterial small subunit ribosomal RNA", at positions 29 to 507 of the family's 1533-position model. The record is from RNAcentral.
AACGAACGCUGGCGGCAUGCUUAACACAUGCAAGUCGAACGCCUGUAGCAAUACAGGAGUGGCAGACGGGGGGGUAACGCGUGGGAACGUACCCCAAGGUUCGGAAUAACGAUUGGAAACGAUCGCUAAUACCGGAGAAGCACGAAAGUGGAAAGGUUUACUGCCUUGGGAGCGGCCCGCGUUAGAUUAGGUAGGUGGUGGGGUAAAGGCCUACCAAGCCUACGAUCUAUAGCUGGUCUGAGAGGAGGAUCAGCCACACUGGGACUGAGACACGGCCCAGUCCCCUACGGGACGCUGCAGUGGGGAAUAUUAGACACUGGGGGCAACUCUGACACAGCCACGUCGCGUGUGUGAAGCAGGCCUUUGUGUUCUAAAGCUCUUUUACAUACGACGUUAAUGACGGUAGUAGGUGAAUAAGCCCCGGCUAACUUCGUG